Molecule: ribosomal RNA, 497 nt
Filed under: uncultured bacterium
Lineage: Bacteria
Description: partial 16S ribosomal RNA
Rfam family: Bacterial small subunit ribosomal RNA
Source: RNAcentral
GAUGGACGCUGGCGGCGUGCCUAAUACAUGCAAGUCGAGCGAACAGACGAGGAGCUUGCUCCUCUGACGUUAGCGGCGGACGGGUGAGUAACACGUGGAUAACCUACCUAUAAGACUGGGAUAACUUCGGGAAACCGGAGCUAAUACCGGAUAAUAUAUUGAACCGCAUGGUUCAAUAGUGAAAGACGGUUUUGCUGUCACUUAUAGAUGGAUCCGCGCCGCAUUAGCUAGUUGGUAAGGUAACAGCUUACCAAGGCAACGAUGCGUAGCCGACCUGAGAGGGUGAUCGGCCACACUGGAACUGAGACACGGUCCAGACUCCUACGGGAGGCAGCAGUAGGGAAUCUUCCGCAAUGGGCGAAAGCCUGACGGAGCAACGCCGCGUGAGUGAUGAAGGCCUUCGGAUCGUAAAACUCUGUUAUUAGGGAAGAACAAAUGUGUAAGUAACUAUGCACGUCUUGACGGUACCUAAUCAGAAAGCCACGGCUAACUACGUG